CCACAAAUUUACGCCAUGCAUGUCUAAGUAUAAACUGCUUAUACUGUGAAACUGCGAAUGGCUCAUUAAAUCAGUUAUAGUUUAUUUGGUGGUACCUUUCAAUGCGAAUACCCGAAUAAUUUCUAGAUCUAAAACGGGCGUAAUUCCCAAUUUCGGAAAGGAACUUAUUUUUUAAAUAAAAGGCCGACCGAGCUUUGCUCGCCCCGGGGAGACUCAUGAAAUCUUCGAAAAGCGCAUGGCCUUGUGCCGGAUCUGUUCCUUUCAUUUUUCUGCUCUAUCAUUUUUCGGUGGGAAGAAAGACGCCUACCAUGGGGAUCACGGAUGAAGGAGGAUUAUGCUACGAUUCCGGAGAGGAAACAUGAAAAACGACUACCGCAUCCAAGGGAGGCAGCAGGCCCGCAAACCACCCCCCCCUGAUACGGGGAAGUAACGACCAUAAAUAACACUGCGGAACAUUUCCUGUCGGGUAGAUGGAAUGAUUACUAUCUAAAUCCCUAACCAAUGAUCCAUUGGACGGCAAGUCGGGUGCCAGCACCCUCGGUAUUUCCCCCUCCAAGAACAUAUAUUUAAGUUGAUGCAGCUAACUCGCUCGUAGAUGGAUUACGGGUGGGUUCUAUCGGUCCGCCCAUGGCGAGGACUGCUAUGCCCUUCCUUGCUGUCAAGAACGGCCUUCUGGUCUUCGCUGUCCGGCACCACGACUCUACGUGCUUACUAUCAAUAAGAACAGUGUAACAGCCGCUUACACCAUAUUACUUAAUAUGGAAAUCACACACGACUCUAGUCUAUCGUGUUGUCUGAAACA
Molecule: ribosomal RNA, 802 nt
Filed under: Halochlorella rubescens
Lineage: Eukaryota; Viridiplantae; Chlorophyta; Chlorophyceae; Chlamydomonadales; Asteromonadaceae
Description: SSU rRNA
Rfam family: Eukaryotic small subunit ribosomal RNA
Source: RNAcentral